GACAGAGGCCCCGAGCGUUAGGCGGAAUCACUGGGCUUAAAGCGUGUGUAGGCGGACCGGUAAGUACCUUGUGAAAUCCCGCGGCUCACCCGUGGAACUGCUGGGUAUACUGCCGGUCUCGGGCCAACUAGGGGCAACUGGAACAAGCGGUGGAGCGGUGAAAUGCGUAGAUAUCAGGAGGAAUACCGAUGGCGAAGGCAGGUCUCUGGGCAUUAACUGACGCUGAGGCGCGAAAGCGUGGGGAGCGAACAGG
This 253-nucleotide ribosomal RNA is filed under the name uncultured bacterium. RNAcentral's name for it is "partial 16S ribosomal RNA". It matches the Rfam family "Bacterial small subunit ribosomal RNA", at positions 524 to 776 of the family's 1533-position model. The record is from RNAcentral.